Molecule: ribosomal RNA, 427 nt
Filed under: uncultured bacterium
Lineage: Bacteria
Description: partial 16S ribosomal RNA
Rfam family: Bacterial small subunit ribosomal RNA
Source: RNAcentral
UGGGGAAUAUUGCACAAUGGGCGCAAGCCUGAUGCAGCCAUGCCGCGUGUAUGAAGAAGGCCUUCUGGUUGUAAAGUACUUUCAGCGGGGAGGAAGGUGUUGUGGUUAAUAACCGCAGCAAUUGACGUUACCCGCAGAAGAAGCACCGGCUAACUCCGUGCCAGCAGCCGCGGUAAUACGGAGGGUGCAAGCGUUAAUCGGAAUUACUGGGCGUAAAGCGCACGCAGGCGGUCUGUCAAGUCGGAUGUGAAAUCCCCGGGCUCAACCUGGGAACUGCAUUCGAAACUGGCAGGCUAGAGUCUUGUAGAGGGGGGUAGAAUUCCAGGUGUAGCGGUGAAAUGCGUAGAGAUCUGGAGGAAUACCGGUGGCGAAGGCGGCCCCCUGGACAAAGACUGACGCUCAGGUGCGAAAGCGUGGGGAGCAAACA